Molecule: ribosomal RNA, 302 nt
Filed under: uncultured bacterium
Lineage: Bacteria
Description: partial 16S ribosomal RNA
Rfam family: Bacterial small subunit ribosomal RNA
Source: RNAcentral
GCAGUAGCCGCGGUAAUACGAAGGGGGCUAGCGUUGUUCGGAAUUACUGGGCGUAAAGGGCUCGUAGGCGGUUUGUUACGUCGGGAGUGAAAACCCAGGGCUUAACUUUGGGCUUGCUUUCGAUACGGGCAGACUUGAGGCAUUGAGGGGAGAACGGAAUUCCUGGUGUAGCGGUGAAAUGCGCAGAUAUCAGGAGGAACACCGGUGGCGAAGGCGGUUCUCUGGCAAUGUUCUGACGCUGAGGAGCGAAAGUGUGGGGAGCGAACAGGAUUAGAUACCCGAGUAGUCCCUGUCUCUUAUAC